AAAAAAGAAAUUAAUAGAAGAAAAAACCACAAUCUCCGUCGUCAAUCUUUGAACCCUUUCUCGCUCCUAUCUCUGUCUCUCUUUAUAUUCUGACUGUUUCUCCAUUACAGUCUCUAUGCAAAGAAGACGAAAGCAAUAAUAAUAAUCAUCAGACAACAACCAAAUCUCAGAGAAUUGAAAGAUUAAUUAGUGAAUUUGAGGGUUCUCUUUAUUAGGGUUUGGAAGAGAUCUGUGAGUUAGGGUAUGUAUGAAGAAACUUGAGUUCUUAGUUAAACAUCUAGGUUUUUUCCAAUUAGUUUAUAGAAGACAGAGAGAAAGUGAUUGAAGAAAUGCAACAGAGAAAACUGACAGAAGAGAGUGAGCACAUGCAGGCACUGUUAUGUGUCUAUAACUUUGCGUGUGCGUGCUCACCUCUCUUUCUGUCAGUUGCCUAUACCUCUUCUUGCUUCUCUCUCUUCUCUCACUCUCUCUCUUCUCACUCUUAUCUUCUACAUCAUUUGCCUUCUUAUCAUCUAUUUUGUUGUGCACUUGGCUGGUUAUAGAUAAAUUAAUGCGUUUAGAUAAAUUAGUUAUGUGUUGUUUUUUCUAUUCUAUAUUCUGUUGAAGUGGGUGCUUGCUUACGCAUGACAACGUUUGUUUUUAAGCUCUUUUGUAGAAGUUUGGUGGAGAAAAGCUCUAUUUUUUAUAGUUGGGGUUUGUAAAUAAUAGAGUAAAUGUAUAUAUUGUUAAGUGUGCUAUCUAUGGUUGAUUUCUUCGAGUGGAUCUAGGGAAAGCGCGAGUUUUGAUGAUCAUGAACCCCAACCGGUUAAUUUGUACGGAUUAAUGCUGGAUGGCAUUGAAUUCUCUCUUGGAUUUAAUGUGAUCCGGUUUCUUCCUUUUGCUUCUGAAUUUUGUUAGAAAAUAGACUUUGUUGCUUUGUUUUGGUAUUUUCUGGUGACAAAUGUUGUUUUCUAUGGAAUGGUGGAUCUAAUAUGGUGCCAAAAUGAGGUAAAAAAUGUUAUCUUCUACUGAAGUUGUUUAUCUUAUGCUGCCAAAUUAAAGGAGGUUUAAAACUCUUAUUUUCUACUGAAAUGAUUGAUCUAUUUAAGUUUCAGAACUGGCCAUAUUUUCAUCUGACGUUAUUCUUUUAGUUAGUUUUUCUUAUGAUCAAAAUCAAUUACUUUGUUAUGUAGACGCCUAGCUAGUUUUGAAGUGAUUUUUCUUAGUAUGCUUUGAUUACUAAAUGUAUUAUAUAACUGGUUCAAGCAAAGGAAUGAGCUGGUUUUCCUUUUUUAGUUUCUUUUAGAAUGUUGUUUCUUGAAUAAGUAACACAAGUAAGGAGCAAUUCUGCUAAUUUAUGUCAAGCAACCAUACAGGUAAGUAACGUCUUUGUGUUCUGUUUGAAGAAAUCAAAUUGUGAACAGGUCUCUAGUUACUGAUGUCGAAUGUGCUUCACCUUGAAAUCCACAAAUGAAGUCAUGAAAUUAGAUAACAGUGGAGAUGAACAAAUACUAAAAUGUUGGUAUUAAUAUCAAGUGGGAAGACAUUUCAAGAAUACCUUUAUCUAAUUCCAACUUUGGAAGUGUAGAAUCAGGUAAGUCAAUUAUAUAUGUAAGAAUGUAGAAUUACUAGCCAACUUAAUUGGAGAUUUCUAGCUUGAUGAUUGUGAAGAACAUCUAGAUCAUUAGCUCUGUUUGCUUCCAUUUUUGAUUUUAUAUAUACUAUGUGUCAUGUGAGAUUGAUAUGUGUUUGUCAUUGUUCAAUCGAUUAAUUACUGAAUUUCACAAUUUAAGAGUUUAUAUAUGGGUUAGUAAUAUAUAUAGAGAGAUUUACGCCGUUUCUCAAGCAUGGUGGAUUCAGUGGCUAGACCUGAAACUAAAUAUUGGAAAAAUUACUUGUUGGCUAAUCUAUUCUUUGAUCACAAAUGCAUCAGUCUAACCUCCUCUUGUCUCUUUGCAUAUGAUAUAAAUAGAGAACAUUUCUGAUGUAUUAUUUAUUUCGUUUCUACAUUUUGUACCCAAGAACUUGAUUCAUGUUGAUGGUGGCAGUAACAAAAGGUUUGUUUUGUGCUC
This is a non-coding RNA of Camelina sativa (false flax), 2051 nucleotides long. The record is from RefSeq and is a predicted model, not a curated record. NCBI's taxonomy places the organism in Eukaryota, Viridiplantae, Streptophyta, Magnoliopsida, Brassicales, Brassicaceae.